AGCGAACGCUAGCGGCGGGCUUAACACAUGCAAGUCGAGCGCUUCACUUCGGUGAAGAGCGGCGGACGGGUGAGUAACACGUAGGUUACCUGCCCCUGGGAGAGGGACAACCGAGGGAAACCUCGGCUAAUACCACAUAUGGUCUACGGAUCAAAGGCUUCGGCCGCCCGGGGAUGGGCCUGCGUCCCAUUAUUUAAUCCUAGUUGGCGGGGUAACGGCCCACCAAGGGUACGAUGGGUAGCUGGUCUGAGAGGAUGAUCAGCCACACUGGAACUGAGACACGGUCCAGACUCCUACGGGAGGCAGCAGUGGGGAAUAUUGCGCAAUGGGCGAAAGCCUGACGCAGCCACGCCGCGUGAGUGAUGAAGGCCCCAGGGUCGUAAAGCUCUGUCGGGGGGAGAAGUUCUGACGGUACCCCCGAACGAAAGACACCGGCGUAACUACCGUCGCACG
This 453-nucleotide ribosomal RNA is filed under the name uncultured bacterium. RNAcentral describes it as "bacterial SSU rRNA". It matches the Rfam family "Bacterial small subunit ribosomal RNA", at positions 29 to 527 of the family's 1533-position model. The record is from RNAcentral.